ACAUUUCUUUAAGAUUAAAUUUAAAGUAUAUCCUGCCCUAUGAUUAUAUAUUAAAUGGCUGCAGUAUAUUGACUGUGCAAAGGUAGCAUAAUAAUUAGUUUUUUAAUUGGGGACUAGAAUGAAUGGAUUUACGAGAUAUAUAUUUUAUUGGUUUUAUAAUUAAAAUUUAAUUUUUUUGUAAAAAAGCUUAAUUAGUUAAUUGGGACGAAAAGACCCUAAAGAACUUUUAUAAUAUUAAUAUUUAUUUAGAAUUAUUUUAUUUUAUUUAUUUUUACUGGGGUGGUAAAUAAAUUUAUUAACUUUAUUUUUUAUGUUCAUUAAUUUAUGUUUAAAUGAUCCUAUUUGAUUAUAAGAUUAAGUUACCUUAGGGAUAACAGCGUUAUUUAAAUGGUAAGUUCAUAUUUAUAUUUAAGUUUGCGACCUCGAUGUUGAAUUAAGGUUAGAUUAAGGGGUAGUUUUUUUAUGUCUAAGUCUGUUCGACUUUUAAAUCCUUACAUGAUCUG
RNAcentral lists this ribosomal RNA (503 nucleotides) under Busonia albilateralis. RNAcentral describes it as "partial large subunit ribosomal RNA". The stretch from base 370 to 503 matches the Rfam family "Archaeal large subunit ribosomal RNA", at positions 2542 to 2676 of the family's 2987-position model. The record is from RNAcentral. Lineage: Eukaryota; Metazoa; Arthropoda; Insecta; Hemiptera; Cicadellidae.